GGGUUGUGAGGUUAAGCGACUAAGCGUACACGGUGGAUGCCCUGGCAGUCAGAGGCGAUGAAGGACGUGCUAAUCUGCGAUAAGCGCCGGUAAGGUGAUAUGAACCGUUAUAACCGGCGAUUUCCGAAUGGGGAAACCCAGUGUGACUCGUCACACUAUCAUUAACUGAAUCCAUAGGUUAAUGAGGCGAACCGGGGGAACUGAAACAUCUAAGUACCCCGAGGAAAAGAAAUCAACCGAGAUUCCCCCAGUAGCGGCGAGCGAACGGGGAGGAGCCCAGAGCCUGAAUCAGCAUGUGUGUUAGUGGAAGCGUCUGGAAAGGCGCGCGAUACAGGGUGACAGCCCCGUACACAAAAGCGCAUGUGCUGUGAGCUCGAUGAGUAGGGCGGGACACGUGGUAUCCUGUCUGAAUAUGGGGGGACCAUCCUCCAAGGCUAAAUACUCCUGACUGACCGAUAGUGAACCAGUACCGUGAGGGAAAGGCGAAAAGAACCCCGG
Molecule: ribosomal RNA, 498 nt
Filed under: Salmonella enterica
Lineage: Bacteria; Pseudomonadati; Pseudomonadota; Gammaproteobacteria; Enterobacterales; Enterobacteriaceae
Description: partial 23S ribosomal RNA
Rfam family: Bacterial large subunit ribosomal RNA
Source: RNAcentral